Molecule: ribosomal RNA, 439 nt
Filed under: uncultured bacterium
Lineage: Bacteria
Description: partial 16S ribosomal RNA
Rfam family: Bacterial small subunit ribosomal RNA
Source: RNAcentral
CCUACGGGAGGCAGCAGUGGGGAAUAUUGCACAAUGGGGGAAACCCUGAUGCAGCAACGCCGCGUGAGUGAAGAAGUAUCUCGGUAUGUAAAGCUCUAUCAGCAGGGAAGAAAAUGACGGUACCUGACUAAGAAGCCCCGGCUAACUACGUGCCAGCAGCCGCGGUAAUACGUAGGGGGCAAGCGUUAUCCGGAUUUCUUGGGGUUAAAGGGUGCGUAGGCGGAAUGCCAAGUCAGCGGUAAAAUCGCGGGGCUCAACCUCGCUGCGCCGUUGAAACUGGCGUUCUUGAGUGGGCGAGAAGUAUGCGGAAUGCGUGGUGUAGCGGUGAAAUGCAUAGAUAUCACGCAGAACUCCGAUUGCGAAGGCAGCAUACCGGCGCCCAACUGACGCUGAAGUACGAAAGCGUGGGUAUCGAACAGGAUUAGAUACCCUAGUAGUC